RNAcentral lists this ribosomal RNA (492 nucleotides) under uncultured bacterium. RNAcentral's name for it is "partial 16S ribosomal RNA". It matches the Rfam family "Bacterial small subunit ribosomal RNA", at positions 28 to 507 of the family's 1533-position model. The record is from RNAcentral.
GAUGAACGCUAGCUACAGGCUUAACACAUGCAAGUCGAGGGGAAACGACAUCGAAAGCUUGCUUUUGAUGGGCGUCGACCGGCGCACGGGUGAGUAACGCGUAUCCAACCUGCCCACCACUUGGGGAUAACCUUGCGAAAGUAAGACUAAUACCCAAUGAUAUCUCUAGAAGACAUCUGAAAGAGAUUAAAGAUUUAUCGGUGAUGGAUGGGGAUGCGUCUGAUUAGCUUGUUGGCGGGGUAACGGCCCACCAAGGCAACGAUCAGUAGGGGUUCUGAGAGGAAGGUCCCCCACAUUGGAACUGAGACACGGUCCAAACUCCUACGGGAGGCAGCAGUGAGGAAUAUUGGUCAAUGGACGAGAGUCUGAACCAGCCAAGUAGCGUGCAGGAAGACGGCCCUAUGGGUUGUAAACUGCUUUUAUAAGGGAAUAAAGUGAGUCUCGUGAGACUUUUUGCAUGCACCUUAUGAAUAAGGACCGGCUAAUUCCGUG